CUCUACCAGUCGGAAGGUUGUGC
This 23-nucleotide non-coding RNA is filed under the name Cricetulus griseus (Chinese hamster). The record is from RNAcentral. Lineage: Eukaryota; Metazoa; Chordata; Mammalia; Rodentia; Cricetidae.